UGCCAGGAAGGGAACUUGCUCUUCCCAGAGCGGCCUCCUCAUCUUACACUGCUCACAGGUCAGACCCUGCUUAGCAAAGGGGACAAUUCAUGCUCACCACUUCAAGACCAGCUCUGUGGAAAUACAUUCCACUCACACAAGGGGGAGGAAUAAUUUUUGCCCAUUUUUUCUCACCCUUUUGCCCCUCAUCCCCUCAAGCUGCCCCAAUCCCAGACAAAGCAGCAACGUGGGCAGAUUAAACUGUAUUAGAUACAUUCCCUGGCUUGAUUAUCAUGUAGGGUGACUAGGCCCACAUUGCAAAAAAAGUAAAGAAAAGAAAAGAGGGCAUUAAAAAAAAGAGAGAGAGGACAUGUUUUCCCCCAAAGAGGACUGCGCUCUGACCUAGAGGGCAUAUGGCCACUCUAGAUCAAGCCACUCUAGAUCAGGCCUAGUAGCUAACAAGGCCGGCCCAUUCACUAGGCAAACAAGGCCGUCACCUAGGUCACCAGCUGGGGAGGGGUACCGACGGCCCAGGCCACAUGCCAGCCCCAUAGGCUGACAGGGAUGAGUGAGGGAGCAGGCAGGCAACUGGGUGACAGACCAAGCAGGCACUCCCCAUCCCUGUCACCUGCCUGCCCCCGUGGGCUGCUCCCUUGGUGGGCCGUCCCUCCUGCCACCAGCCUGCCGUGGCACUUUAGGAUUCUGCUCUGCAGCAGAAGGGAGCAGCCUGCCAUGGCAAGGAAAGAAAGGGGCAGGCAACAGGUAUGGGGGGCACUUGCUCGAUCUCUUCACCGUGGCCGGCCACCACCACUCUGGCCGUUGACCCAGUGGUGUCGCUAGUGGAAAGGCAGCCCGUGUUCCUCCCGCUGGUGGCCCCAGCAUGUGAUGCCCAUGUGCGGGAUGUCAUGUGUAGAGAAGGGGUGUCCCAAUCACUGGAGGGCCCGCCCAGCCCUCCCCAUUGCAUUUCCAGCCCACGUUAUGACGCCAUGUACAAGGAGGGCAUUGGCAGCCCUUUUCAUUAGUGGCCUGGGUUCUUUGAAGCCUACCAUGCAAUGGUGGCUCCACCCCUGUGCUGACCAGCUGCGACAGGUUCUAAUGGUGUCGCUGCGCAUGGCAGCAUCAUUAAAAUGUCCUGCAGUGAACAGCCAGCAACAGAAGUGGGAGGAGAGCUAGCGGGCCAUCUCCAUCCCUGUUGCUCUUCUCGCUGUAGCAGGCGGAGACACCGGCAGGAUGGAGGACGUCCCUUCUUUUCAUCAUGGCAGGAGGAGCAGAGAUUUUGCUGGAGUUCUGCCUCAAUCCAGUUGUUCAGCUUUUCCAAGGUUUAGUUUGGUUAGCUUGCUGAGGAGCUGAUCUUGCAAAGUGUUUGGAGUCCAAGGAAGCUCUGCUCUUUCACAGGAGCAUCCUGAAACAUGACCUUCCUGGUGACGUCCCUUCUUCUUCCCAAUGAGCAAUGACCCGAGUGACCUCUGGAUGAACAGUCCAGGAGGGACGAAGAGAGAUAAUUAAAAGCGACAGGCCUGUGAUCACAGACCAAAGGUGAAGCCCAGGUGAAAUCCACAAUCCGUUCCAGGCACUGAAGCCAUAAACCAAACUGAAGGACGGAAUUCUUUUCAUUGAAGGAAGGUCUGUUGGCUUCUAGUCUCCUUAUCACAAAGAUGCAGAAGGACAAUUGCUGAGUCCAGGCUGGCCUGUAAGUCACGUAUCUCUCCACAUGUCCAAGAAGCUUGAACUCCAGCUGCAGAGAAUCUAUGUGUAGUUUUUCAGGCCUAAUUCUCACUAUGAGCAGUUGAGUAACAAAAGCUAGUACCAGCGUGUGUUCUUCUGAACUCUCAUUGGCUCCAGCAGCAAGGUGGGUUAGAAACAAGAGAGGGAGGAUUAAAGAAUUGAUGGCCAGUAGGUGGAGCUCUCUAUUCAACACCAAACCUGCCUUCUCUUCGUUUGAUGGGCCUGUGGGCGAGUUUGCAGGAUCUGAAGCAGCUGUACUCCAGUGACACAGGAAGUCUAAUACUCCUCAGAACCUUCCCAGCUUUGCUUGGUUCUUCAGGCCCUGAUUGGCUCUCAGCCCAGCAUUUUGAUUGGCUGGGAACCCUGUAUAAGUGCUUCCUGACACAACUCAACUUUAGGAUUCUUUGCCUACAAGUCGGGACUACAGUACUUUGCUCUGCAGGCUAAUUCCCAGAGAAAAUUAGCUUCUGGACCAUACUGAAUAGUUACCAAAUAAGAUAAC
Long non-coding RNA from Hemicordylus capensis (graceful crag lizard), 2206 nucleotides. RefSeq lists it as uncharacterized. The record is from RefSeq and is a predicted model, not a curated record. Lineage: Eukaryota; Metazoa; Chordata; Lepidosauria; Squamata; Cordylidae. The transcript is spliced from 6 exons.